CCUAUACAUGACUCUGCGCAUAUCAAUAAGCGGAGGAAAAGAAACUAACAAGGAUUCCCCUAGUAACGGCGAGUGAAGCGGGAAGAGCUCAAAUUUGAAAUCUUAAAGGGUUUCCCUUUACGAAUUGUAGUUUAAAGAAGUGUUUUCUGUUGAGGUUUUGGUAAAAGUUCUUUGGAAUAGGACAUCAUAGAGGGUGAGAAUCCCGUAUUUGACCUUUACUUUCAACUUUGUGAUACACUUUCAAAGAGUCGGAUUGUUUGGGAAUGCAGUCCAAAAUGGGUGGUAAAUUUCAUCUAAAGCUAAAUAUUGGCGAGAGACCGAUAGCGAACAAGUACCGUGAGGGAAAGAUGAAAAGAACUUUGAAAAGAGAGUUAAACAGUACGUGAAAUUGUCAAAAGGGAAGCGUUUGACACCAGUGUUGUUUUUCUGAAAAUCAAUUAAAGAACUGUUUAUGCUAAGUUGUUUAGACUUUAUCAGCUAACUGUUUAGUUUUGAGCUUUUCUUUAAUGCACUUUUCAGUUAACAAGUCAACAUCAAUUUCUUUUGCUGUAAAAAAGCUUGAGGAAGGUGGCUUGAGAUUCGUCUUAAGUGUUUAUAGCCUCUUGCCUAUGCAGUCGGAGAGAUUGAGGUCUGCAGCGUAGAUCCUUCGGGGCUAAAUGCAUUUGUGCUAAGUUAUAACAUUUUAUAGACAACUUGUUGACUAUGAUUUGUCUUGUAGCUUACUCGCUUAUGUUAUUUUACCUACGCUUAGGAUGUUGAGCGCAUGUCUCUCUCU
This 775-nucleotide ribosomal RNA is filed under the name uncultured Neocallimastigales. Its description in RNAcentral is "partial large subunit ribosomal RNA". It matches the Rfam family "Eukaryotic large subunit ribosomal RNA", at positions 22 to 616 of the family's 3401-position model. Lineage: Eukaryota; Fungi; Neocallimastigomycota; Neocallimastigomycetes; Neocallimastigales. The record is from RNAcentral.